Molecule: transfer RNA, 72 nt
Filed under: Leyella stercorea
Lineage: Bacteria; Pseudomonadati; Bacteroidota; Bacteroidia; Bacteroidales; Prevotellaceae
Description: tRNA-Lys
Rfam family: tRNA
About the family: Transfer RNA (tRNA) molecules are approximately 80 nucleotides in length. Their secondary structure includes four short double-helical elements and three loops (D, anti-codon, and T loops).
Source: RNAcentral
GCACCCUUAGCUCAGUUGGUAGAGCAACUGACUCUUAAUCAGUGGGUCUAGGGUUCGAAUCCCUAAGGGUGU